This is a long non-coding RNA of Lathyrus oleraceus (garden pea), 1544 nucleotides long. RefSeq lists it as uncharacterized. The record is from RefSeq and is a predicted model, not a curated record. NCBI's taxonomy places the organism in Eukaryota, Viridiplantae, Streptophyta, Magnoliopsida, Fabales, Fabaceae. The transcript has 2 exons.
ACAACGAUGAACAGAUUUGAUGAGGGAGCAUGGUAAUGGAUCGUGGGACAUCCACACGAAAGCAACUGGUUGACCAACGGUCAACCACAACCACUGCCUACCACCGGAGCGACACUUGUCACUCAUGCAUUGGGCCAGGCAUGGGUAUUUGACCCUGGCUUUGGAGAAGACGAGUUCAUUUGAUGAACUCCUUUCUCUCUCCUCACCUCAUAGCCAAAGCUGCUCUUCAAUCUCACUUGUCUUCUUUGUUCAUAAACUUACCGGAGAAGCAGCGGCACGCGGCGGCCGCCACCGUCUUCUCCGAUGAAGACCUCUCUCAACCCAGAAACACAACCGACACCACCUUUUUCUUGGCCAAGGAUUACAGAUCCAGCCUUAGAUUUCAAAGAAAAUCAACCAAAGUAACCCGAAUCAGCAAAGAAAUCCGAAAACCCCAACCCUCUAUAAGCCAAACUAAAUCCCCAUAAAUCAAACGAAAUCCAAACGGAUAUGGAGUGCUGAAGAGACACGUAUGAUGGUGUUUUGUGAAAGUGUUCAAAAUAGUUUGAAAGAGAAUACCUAAUCGGAACCAGUCUGACGUAGCUCCGACGAAGAACUUUUGGUGAGGUACUUAGCUCUGUUCCGAAACGAGCUUCACUGUGAAGGCUCAGAGGGACUCUUAGAGAAGAGUUUUGAGUGAGGUUCUCUGGAUUUUUUUUGCAGCGUAACAGUAAUGUAAUCUCGGUCCCAUCUUUCUUUUCCGGACCCCUCUAUUUAUAAUGGUUAAACCUUUCCCCUUAUGCCCUCUCCAAUCUAUUUACAAUUUUCUUUUCUUUUCUGUAGGAUAUCCCAAGAAAUCGUGAGUUGUCUUCCUGUUAGUGAGGAGUGGGCGAGAUCCUUGAUUUCGUGGGGAUUACAACAAGGCACGUUUGGAUUCAUAUGGUCCCGAAAAUAACUUCGUGUAUUUACUGAUAAUUUUUCUCUCCCCUAAAACGUCCUGCUUGAUCCUCCCACUUAUUUCCUUGGGUCAUUUCUUUUUGUGUUUGUAUAUUUAGUGAUUGGGUGCGUCGAUUUGUUUAUCAACGUCAUUGUUCUUUCCUUAUCUUUGGUAUUUUUGAUUGAAUGUACGUUUAAAAGCACAAUACUGUGAGGCUUGAGCAGUGGUUCUUUUGAUUAACUUCUCCUCUCUUUUUAACAGGUACCAUAAGUAAAGAUGGGUUUUCAAGUAAAAGUCCUUGACCAACUGUUGCUCUACUUAUAAUUUUCGAUAGGGAAUUUGGUGAUGUGUCAAAUGGAGUUCUGAAGAAUCGGAGCCAGUCGAUGUUCACCAUGGAUAAAACCUUUCCAAAUGUACUUAUGACAUAAUUUGUGAUUCCUGUAUUUGAGUUUUCUCUAUGAUUCUAUGUAACUCUUAAUGUAUGGUUAAAUGUGAUUCUUUGGAGAAUAACUUUUUGUAGAAAAACAUUGUUUCUCCUUACGUGUAUUAUCAUAAACUUUUAAACUUUCAUAAUGAGAAACUUAAGUAAAACACGGGGUCCUCCUCCUCAAGAAAGGAGACGCACUUA